This 352-nucleotide unclassified non-coding RNA is filed under the name soil metagenome. Its description in RNAcentral is "partial contains 5.8S ribosomal RNA, internal transcribed spacer 2, and large subunit ribosomal RNA". The stretch from base 1 to 120 matches the Rfam family "5.8S ribosomal RNA", at positions 35 to 154 of the family's 154-position model. The record is from RNAcentral.
GAUGAAGAACGUAGCGAAAUGCGAUAAGUAAUGCGAAUUGCAGAAUCCGUGAGUCAUCGAAUCUUUGAACGCACAUUGCGCCCCUUGGUUAUUCCGAAGGGCAUGCCUGUUCGAGCGUCAUUAUCACCCCUCAAGCCCUGGCUUGGUGUUGGACUUUAGUUAUAGCUUUGCCUAUCAACUGGUCUCAAAGAUAGUGACGGCGCCCCAGAGGGAACCGGGUACGAGGAGCUUUUUACUAAGCAUGUAUCUGGGACGACUCUGGGCAACGGUCUUGUUAUACUUUUUACCUAAGUGUUGACCUCGGAUCAGGUAGGAAUACCCGCUGAACUUAAGCAUAUCAAUAAGCGGAGGA